UACGUAGGGUGCAAGCGUUGUCCGGAAUUAUUGGGCGUAAAGAGCUCGUAGGCAGUUUGUCGCGUCUGCUGUGAAAUCCCGAGGCUCAACCUCGGGCCUGCAGUGGGUACGGGCAGACUAGAGUGCGGUAGGGGAGAUUGGAAUUCCUGGUGUAGCGGUGGAAUGCGCAGAUAUCAGGAGGAACACCGGUGGCGAAGGCGGGUCUCUGGGCCGAUACUGACGCUGAGGAGCGAAAGCGUGGGGAGCGAACAGG
Molecule: ribosomal RNA, 253 nt
Filed under: uncultured bacterium
Lineage: Bacteria
Description: partial 16S ribosomal RNA
Rfam family: Bacterial small subunit ribosomal RNA
Source: RNAcentral